RNAcentral lists this ribosomal RNA (314 nucleotides) under uncultured bacterium. RNAcentral describes it as "partial 16S ribosomal RNA". It matches the Rfam family "Bacterial small subunit ribosomal RNA", at positions 499 to 807 of the family's 1533-position model. The record is from RNAcentral.
UUAUAAGAGACAGCAGUAGCCGCGGGAAUACGUAGGGUGCAAGCGUUAAUCGGAAUUACUGGGCGUAAAGCGUGCGCAGGCGGUUAUAUAAGACAGAUGUGAAAUCCCCGGGCUCAACCUGGGAACUGCAUUUGUGACUGUAUAGCUAGAGUACGGCAGAGGGGGAUGGAAUUCCGCGUGUAGCAGUGAAAUGCGUAGAUAUGCGGAGGAACACCGAUGGCGAAGGCAAUCCCCUGGGCCUGUACUGACGCUCAUGCACGAAAGCGUGGGGAGCAAACAGGAUUAGAGACCCCUGUAGUCCCUGUCUCUUAUAC